This 118-nucleotide non-coding RNA is filed under the name Drosophila willistoni. Its description in RNAcentral is "Eukaryotic large subunit ribosomal RNA". It matches the Rfam family "Eukaryotic large subunit ribosomal RNA", at positions 1 to 118 of the family's 3401-position model. Lineage: Eukaryota; Metazoa; Arthropoda; Insecta; Diptera; Drosophilidae. The record is from Rfam by way of RNAcentral.
CAACCUCAACUCAUAUGGGACUACCCCCUGAAUUUAAGCAUAUUAGUUAGGGGAGGAAAAGAAACUAACAAGGAUUUUCUUAGUAGCGGCGAGCGAAAAGAAAAUAGUCAGCACUAAG